UACAGAGGUGGCAAGCGUUGUUCGGAAUUACUGGGCGUAAAGGGCGCGUAGGCGGCCUUCUAAGUCAGACGUGAAAUCCCCCGGCUUAACCUGGGAACUGCGUCUGAUACUGGGAGGCUUGAGUAUGGGAGAGGGAUGUAGAAUUCCAGGUGUAGCGGUGAAAUGCGUAGAUAUCUGGAGGAACACCUGUGGUGUAGACAGCUUACUGGACGAUAACUGACGCUGAGGCACGAAAGCGUGGGUAGCAAACAGG
This 253-nucleotide ribosomal RNA is filed under the name uncultured bacterium. Its description in RNAcentral is "partial 16S ribosomal RNA". It matches the Rfam family "Bacterial small subunit ribosomal RNA", at positions 524 to 776 of the family's 1533-position model. The record is from RNAcentral.